RNAcentral lists this ribosomal RNA (313 nucleotides) under Triticum aestivum (bread wheat). RNAcentral's name for it is "partial small subunit ribosomal RNA". Lineage: Eukaryota; Viridiplantae; Streptophyta; Magnoliopsida; Poales; Poaceae. The record is from RNAcentral.
AUGACAAUGAGGCCGCUCGUCCUUCUUGCCCUGGCCGUCGUGCUCGCCGCCGGUAUCGGCGGCGCUGAGGGAGCUGGCGAGUGCAGCGUGAGGGCCUCGGCCAUGGCCCAGCAACUGGCUCCGUGCCUCCCGGCGGUGCGCAACCCGCAGUCCGCGCCGACGAGCAGCUGCUGCGUGGGUGUGCGCAACAUCAACAUGAGGAGCCCCGGUUGCGUGUGCUCCGUCAUGUCCGACGUCUUCAAACUGGCCGGACUGAAGCCUCAAGUCGCAAUCGCAAUCCCCAAGCGCUGUGGCAUUGCCGACUGCGGAGGUA